This is a non-coding RNA of Xyrichtys novacula (pearly razorfish), 9031 nucleotides long. NCBI's taxonomy places the organism in Eukaryota, Metazoa, Chordata, Actinopteri, Labriformes, Labridae. The record is from the annotation of a GenBank genome assembly.
AACAGACGAGAUCAGGACUCGGAAUAAAGGAGACGAAAACUGGAUUAAGUGGAUGGAGCAGAGAAAAACAAUGAGAGAGAGAGGAGAGAAAGAGGUAAGAAUGAGGGAUGUUUGUGUACGAAUGUGCUCAUGGAGGGAGAGGUGAUGGUGUGAUGGAGGGAUGGAGGAAGAAAUAGAGGAGGAGAAGUGGGUGUGGCCAAGGUUUGAACCCACUCCCACCUCCUUCUACAACUGAGUUUAUCAGGUUUAUCACUGCGUAACAAUAACUCAUAAUCAACAGGGAAAUUUAAACAUUUAAAAGGUUGAAUUAUAUCAUUUAGGUGCAGAUUUUGCAGAUAGAACUUUACGAGUUUCUUUAUGUUGCUUUAAGCUGCUGUGAUUGUUAUUUUCACACGUAAAGGUUGUGAUGAAACCUUAAAGGUACCUUAAAACCUUAUGAGGCUUUGUGAUUGUCCUCCAUAUAAAGUAUUACCUUAACUUCUAAUACAAAAUGUCAAAAGUCAAAAAUUCACUUUUAAUCCAGUACAUUUCUCUCAAUAAUGUAAAAGAAAGUUUAUAUACAUGUACACAACUUUGAACAAAUGUAAACUGUACCAUUAAAGCGAAAUUAUCUACACUAACUUAUAUACAUAAAUACACAAAUAAAGUUAGUAUAAGUCUCGACUUAUGUGAACUCUUUCCAGUCUUCACAAAUUAAAUUAACACUGAAUAAAUCGAAAGGGUUUGGGUCACAAUUAAGUGAGUCUAGACGGUUUAGGAGGUCAUUAUACAGAGUAAUGACACCAAACAGAGGCGGCCGCGGUCGAAGGUCCUCGUCCAAGUUCAGCCAUAAACAAAAGAAAAUAGAAAAGAGCUCCACUGUACGAGUUUAUUUAACUGGGAAAGUUUAUUUUGAUUAUUUGAAAUGAAAAUAUCUCCAUUUAUCUUAAAUCCACUGAAGUUAAAGAGAAAUUUUGAGGCAGAAAAGUCACCAACUUUAUUUUACCUCAAACAACAUUUGAUUUUAUAGUCUUUGUCUUCUUUUUCUUCAUGUGACUCCAUUUUUAGUCCACAUUUUUAAUUAUUCCUUAAAUUUUGACCACGUUUAUCCCCAACUUUCACUUCUCUUACUUUCAAAACUGAAGUCCAUUAAAUAUUAGAAAUGUCCCUUUAAGACUCAGACACUGAGAAUACUGGAAACAUUUAGACAAAUCAGAUCAGCUGGUUCUCACUGGUUUGACAAUCUUUACUUUUACUCAAGAAUAACUUUGACUACUUCACACUCUUUAAUUUUUAUCUGAGCUGAGAAACAUCUCUAACUCUCGUCAAAAGUGAACUCGAGUUACACAAACCCCAAAUUCAAGCAGUUUUUUUGGAUUUAUCAAGAAUUUUUAAAAAUUAACUUCUUGUAAUUUUAUUUCUACUGUUUCUAAAAUUGGGGAAAAAUCUACACAUGAACUUUUCUCUUUUUUAUGCAGGUUUUAAAAUACUUAAACAUCCAGUUGCUGUAACAGGAAUUUUUUAACGUCUUUGCUCUCACGUCUGGUCUGAGAUGCAGGGUCACCUUAGGUUAAAUCUUUUUUUCAGGUUUUUUAUAUUCAAUAACAAGAAAUUAAUUAUCAUCUGAACCAUUUUUGCUGCUGAAUACUGAUAAUUCAUCGAUGAUAUAAUGGGUUCGUAUUAUUAACUGUAUUUAAAAACUUUUUUUGAUGUUGUCUGUAAAAUAGAUUUUGUAUCUCGCUGGGAAUAUUCCUAUAAGACAAUAAUCUAAAUAAAUAAAAUGAAUAAAAAUAGGUUAGUUUUGCCUGAGAGCACAUACUUAUGUUCUGAUAUACAGUCUACUCUACUGUAGAGUAUUUCUGUGUGAGAGUAGCUGUGAGAUCGACACAGUUUGAAUGAGUAAGACAAGAACAUGGAGGAAGAGGUGUGUGUAGGAGAGCUGACGAGUUUUAAUCAUUACUUUUUAGCUAAAUCAGAACUCUACGCUCUCGCUUCGCCUCCUAACAAAGAUCUUACUGUUUUCAAAUCUAUACUAUAAUUUAUUUAUGAUCGGAAGAGAAAGCAGGAUGAGAUUUUAAGAAGGAAAAAAAAAAAUUUGAAUGUGUCGUGAAAUUAGCAACAGAAUAAGAGAUACGGUUUGUCCACAGGGGGCGCCAAAAUUAACACAAACUGGAGGCUUGCGGCAGGAGCUUUAAAGUUAAAAUUAUAAGGAGAAAAGUUUUGAUGCGGGACAUAUUUAAACUGAGCGUGUGAAGUGACAGAUAGUAAAGCCCCUCUCGGGAACUUCCUGUUUGUGUCGAUUUUGGCGCCCCCUGUGGACAUAUAGAUCUCCCUUUUGUGUUUUUGCGUAUUUUCUUUUGUUCUGUCUGAUCCUGCUUUCUGUUUACAUCCAAAUAGGCCCCUUUUUAGAAAUAUUUGCAGUGUGAAAAGUUAAAAAAGAGGUUUCAUCUUCCUUCUUCUGUAAAUUGACUCACCUGGCGCCCACCCCUCACAGCAGCUAAAGACAUUAAACAUUUCAAAACGCAGACAUUGUAAAUCAGGCUGAUAGUAUGAUUUUAGGGGGUGUAGAGAAGCUUUGUUGUUAAUUUCAGCCUGUUUCAUAAGCAGAUAAAAACUCCUCAUUGGAGCUUUAAGGUUUCUCUUUGUGUUUAAAAAAAUCAACCUUCAAUUUUAUCUCACAGAAAACAGAUAAAAAGCUGGAAGAGGUGAUUUAGUUUGAUAAUUCCUGAUUAAGAGUGAAAUAUGCCACAUUUAAGAAUAAUUCAUGAUUGUUUCAGACACUUUCAAAGAUGGUUCCUGUUAGUCUGCCAAGACAAACACCUCUAUCAGUGUCAGUGUGUCAGCUGCUGCCAGCCCACAGUCUGCUGAGUGUGUGUGUGUGUGUGUUAGAGUGUGUGUGAAUGCAUGUAUUUGUGUGUGCGUGUGUGUGUGUGGGGCUGCAGACAGUGCCACUGUGUGCCCUCCUUGUCCAGACACUCUGCUUCCUCUCCUGUCAUGACCCGCAGACGGAGCAUGAUCGGGCCGUCUGUGCCACUUUGUGCCGGGUUCAGCAGACGGCUUCCCCUUCUGACAUCAUCACUGUGAGACGGUGAUGUAGCUGUCGUUACAGGAGACGGGGCAAAAGCCAGCGACACAGGACACUGACGGAGUGUCUGCUGUUUUCUUGUUCGGUGUACAGUGGCUGGUGUGUUAUUUUCCCCGUUGAAUUAGACUUUUGUUGUCUGGUAGAGAAGGGCAAUUUUAUUAAAAAAAGAAAAAAGACGGUAAAACUUAAACACUGGAAACUGACCUGCAUGCUCCUUUACUACUCAUCAUUAUAGAAAAUAUAAUAAUUUAAAGGUUCUCUUUAUUUAAAUGAGCUGCAAACAGGUUCAAACGUUUAUAAAAUUAUUUCUAAACAUUAAAGAUAAAUAAUCUUUAUUUUCCUGAUUGCUAAAGUGUCCUCCUGCAGUCAGAGGAACUCAAUCCAGAGGGGGAAAAACCUGUUAGAGAAACUCGGCCGAGCAACAGGUGUCCGAUCACAGAGUUAGAGUGACACCUACAGUACAAAACUCAGGGUGAAAAAACACACACACACACACCGGCUCAGGCUGGAGUCAGGGGGAAACACAAAUCCAGCCUGCAGGGGAGGCCUGAACUCAGAGACCUGCUGGAGGAGCUCUCAGCAAACACCGGCCUCAAAAAGUUACGAACAUCUUUGUGCAUAUUAAAAAAACAGUUUGAAGGAAAUAGAUUUUAUUACUUAUUUUGAAAGGUUUUUUUCUACAAGAAUAUAAAACAGGACUAAAUAACAACAAAAACAAACCAGACUUUGUGACACUGUCUUUUCUAUUGUGCAUGUUUCUUCUUUAUCUUAUUCUGCUUGAUUUUACCUUUUAAACGAAUCUUUUCAGAUAUGUGAACCUUAAUAGAUAUCUCAUUCCUACAAAAACUUUUAAAAAAGUCAUGCAAAAUUCUCAAAUUUGUGUGACUAAGAAAUUCCGCUUCAACUAUUUUUUGAAAAGUCAAAAAGGAUUUAGACUUGUAGAAACUAUUCCCUUUGUUCUGCAUAAGACGGUUAUUCAUCGUUAAUUUAUUUCUUUUUACCUUGUUUAAGAGAAAUAUAGGACUACGUUUGUUGUUAGAAGUACUUUAAUAAAUAUAUUUAAGUAUUCAGUUUGAUACUUUUCUUUUUGCAUGAAGUGACGUGUUUGUGGACACCAGGGAAGUAGAUAAGAACUGUAUUUACUGUUUGUUGGACAGUUUUGUUCAGAGUCGGCCCAAACCUCAAUGAGGCCCUGAGCAGAAUUUGAUUUUGGGGCCCUCUGUUUCUGCCAAUAAUAUUGAUUGUUGAUCAUUCACUCACCUUCACAAAUCUCUUUGGUUAACAUUCCAUGACGUGCAGACAUACCUUUAUCUUCUUCCUCUUUCUUUUCUCUGCUCCUGAAGGAUACGUCCUUUUUUGCGACAUUGUUUUUCCCACAACUACCUGCUCUUUGGAUGCUCAGUGCACAUAACAGCAGCAGAGUUUGACAUAUCGGCAGUAAGAAUAAUAGGCCUACAUCAGCAGCAGCUCGAAAAUGUUUUUACUUUAUUUUAUUUUACAAUAAUAUAUAUUUGAUCAGACAGAAAGAAUCGCUCAUACAUGCAAAAAAUAAAAAUUAUCAUUAUUAUUAUUUUGAUUGCUCUUAGGGGCCCCCUAUUGGCCGCGUGGCCCUAAGCAGGCUUUUAGUUCGCUUGUGCCUUGGGCCGGCUCUGGUUUUGUUCAAUAAACACAAAAGAAAACAUAUUUUUGUUGACGGAUAUUGACAAUGUACUUUUUACUAUAAAUGUUCCACACAAAAUUUGACGUAAAUGGAAUUGAUAAGUAGAAUUGGUUGAUAACAGGGGCGUAUCUAAACUUUUUGAUUGGGGUGGCCCAACCGAACAACAAACAAAGGGUGCGGUGGCCUGGAUGAGAGCACACACACACACACAUUAUCGUUAAAGUACCAAUUCGCUGUGAUUAGUCUUUUAAACCUUACAAAAAAUUUAAUAGAAGCACUGCACAUUAAUCUUCGUAGUUUGUCGUGAAUUCUGUUUGAUAUCGGAAGUCAGACAUUCAGAUUCAUCACUGGGAACGUCACUUGAAAACCCUUAAAAACUCAGAGCAACUUUAUAUACUUCAAACCAUAAAUCCAAGAAGGAUGCUUGACUUUUAACGUUGUCUAUUAGCAACUUAAUCUGUUCAUUUUUUUAAUCAUAAAGACAAUAUCGUAAAUAUUUUAUGUGACUUUAUUUUAUGUUGCUUUGACGUACAAAUGCUCACACUGAGUGUUUUUAUUUCCUGGUAAAACUAGCAACGCACAACUUGAGUGCAAUUAACUGUCAUGUGGGCGGAGUCAAACAUCCAACCUGAGAAGAAACGAUUUAUCUAGACUCACAAUUUUUUUAAUUAGCCAAAAACUCCUUAUAUGAGCUUUAAUGAUGACAGUGAGAGUAGCUAUAGCUUGACUUCUGUGGAUAAACUCUCAGGAGACAUUUGUGAACACUCCCCCUCUGUUGUUUUGUAACAGCCCGUGUGUAUCCGUGCGUUAAUGUGCUCGGUAACUAAUCACGGGCGGAUAUCGUCAUUGACUCUCUUUUAAUAGACUCGGUCAUCAUCCUCUGCUCCAAACCAACGCAGAGACAAAUCCCCCCGCGGGGACCUGACUCACCGCUGCUGCUUAUCUCAGCUGUGACACACUCAGAUCCAACACACACACACACACACACACACACAACGCCGCAGCCUCAUUUAUUUAUGUGUGUUAAGUCAUGAAAUAUAGUAACAUGAGCACGGGCUCGGUCUGUGGCUGCAUGCUGAGGUGAUUUCAAGAGGCAAACACUCACCAGAAAUUAAAGAUGUUGUUUAGUGCUUUUAAGAAAUCCACACUGGCUUCUACCACCCAAUUAUUGCAGGUUUUAGUUCAUCAAAUUCACUUUUUACUCCAUUUUUGGCGAAAACAUCACGAUUAACGCGAUACUAUUUGGACAAAAUUGAAGAUCCUUUUUUGGUACUGUAUAUUUUAAGGAAAUGGGGUCUUCUAAAGCGAUUUAAUUUUGCAUUUGAGAGGCAAAAAUAGCACAAAAGACGUAUCUGAUGUUUGCUUUUAAUAUCCAGAUUGAUGUGAGGAUAUUCAGUCAUAAAAAAAAAAAGAUAAAAAUGUCUCUUUGACGAGAAAGUAGAAGCUGUGUUACUCUAUUAUAUCUACUGUCUGAUAAUAAUGUUUUGCCUUUUUCUUUGUCGUGCAAACUCCCACCAAAACCCGAGCUAGUUUGAGAUCAUAUCGAGGUAAUGAAAUAUUAUAAACUUCUGCUUUUUUCAUGUAAAGAGUUUCUUUCUAGAGCAAAGUCAUGACAUGCUUUUAUGGCUUUUGAUCAUUAAGAAAAUAUGGAGUUGUAACACUGAAAUUCUUCGACUUUUUCAGGCGUUAUUAUCACCGUGAAAGCAUCAGUUUGGGAGAAAAUGGAGUUGGUAUUCUUUUUAAAGCGCAAAUAGUUUCAAGAUACUAUGAGUUCACUGAGACGAGAUUUCUUUUCUUUUUUUUCAAGAAAUCCAUCAAAAAGUGACUUUUUUUUGCAGAGGUUGUCAAGGCUUAAGCUUUCUUCUUGUGGAUUUAAGAUACAAAUGGAUAGUAGGAGAUAAUAUUCAUCUUUUGUUGGGAGUAAAGGAACCUCAAAAUAAAAGAGCGAUUCCACAGAAAAUAGACUUUGACUUGCUUUUGAUGACACCAAAUGGUUUUGGGUUGUUCUGGGGUGAUGAGGAAUUACGCUUUUUUUCCAUUUUUUUGGUCAAAAAGUAGGAUAAAAAGGGUUGAUCUGAACAAAUGUGAAAGAUUUGAAACUCUUUGUAUGACGACAAACUGUUCAAGGAUAUUAAGGGUCAUCAAACUGAAUUCUGAGAGUUUUUACAGGCCAAAAAAAUGCCAUUAAAGUCUGAUUCUGGACCAAAAAUAGAGUUGGAUAUGCUUUCUAUGUUGCUACACGGUUUAAAGAUACUUAAAAUAAAAUGAUGUAUUUUCGAAGGCACAGAAGAAUCAAAAAGUGUCUUUUCAACACAAUAACUCGACUCAGACAUUGUCCACAAAUACACAUUGGUAAGAAACACAAUUGAACCAUAAAAAAUAAUAUUCCUCAGCCUUUGUUGGGGAAAAAAAUCACAAUAAAGGUGCGAAAUUGGAAAAGAAAACAGACUUGACUUGCUUUUCGAUGUUACAGGAUGGUUUAAAGAUAUCCUGAGGAGUUUUUGAUCCUGAAAAAUGCACAAACAUGGUGUUGAUUUGGACAAGAAAACAAAGCUAAGGCAUAUUUUUCUUAAUGAUAUAAAUUUUUUCUUUAUGGGCAGCUCAGUUGUGAUGGUUAAAGAGAGAGUUGAGGCCGGGGUCGAGGCUUUAUGAGGUAAAAAUGACAUGAUUGCAGCACUACACUGCACUUUUAAACAACAAAAACAAAAUAGUUUUCUAAUAAAACUGAGAAAACGAUGUAUUUGUUAAUAAAUUAUGAAACUACAACACUAAACAUCCUACAGGUGGACACGUACAGCUCUUUACUGAGCAGCUGUUUCUGUUAUAGAGUAACAUAAGAGUAGGAAAAAUGCUCUAAAUCUGGUCAUGGUUGUAUUUAUUCUACAGUGGAGUCACAGGGAGGCCAGCUGUAUCUGCAAGGCUCUUCUGUCACUCUGCAUCCUGUCUCCUACCCUCCCUUCCUCGUCCCUUUCCCUCUCUCCCUGCUUCCUCUGCUCUAUAUUCCCAGAAACGUGAAUCCCUGUCUGAUCCCUCUGCAACAUAAACCUCCUCUUUUCCCUCCUCCUUGGUAAAAACCUCUUUACUCCUGCUCUCCCGUCUAAGGCCCUUGUUUUGUGCAGAGGUCCUGACCCCUGCUGCCCUCCUGUUGACCUUUUCGCAGGUUAGCUCCUCUGUCAGUUGCAGCUGCGGUGCUGCGAAAAGCCCCGAUAAUCCAAUCACACAGUCAUUAGCGGCGAGGAGGCCUGAGCCGGAGCAGGUGAGUGUGUUUGUGUCACUCACCGCUUCAUUAUGUUUCUCUCUAACCUUUUCCUGCACUCUCUCUCUCUCUUUUGAAUUAAGAAAUCAGCUUUUACCUUUAAAAUAAUCCUACAAAUGUCCCCUCACGCCACAGAAACACAGCUGAUCAAUCAACGUCUGCUCAGAUGAUUAAAUCUGUACAUGCAAAACGCUCCAGCAUCAUCAUUCAUCAGUUUUAUUUCCACGCAGGUCUGAAUGUAAAUGAGGAAGGUGUUGCCAGGGAUGAGCUUUUCUUCAUCACGAGUAUGUAAGGAGUCAAGUCAGAUAUAUCAAAAUUACACAGGAUCAAGCGGAGAUGUUUAGGAGUGAAUGAAAUCCUGAUUGUUAAUAACACUAAAGACCAAUUAAAAUUCUGAGAGGACGAGGGAUGGUGCCCACGUCUUCUAAUUUGAGGUUUUGUUCUUCUUCUACCUGCCUGUCACCAUGGUGAUGUUUCCGUCAUCGUCACCGGAACCUGCCUAAUCGAUCGCCGUGAGAAAAUAUGAAUCGAGUUUCAGUACUCGAGUAUAAAACUCAUGGACUUGGCUCAAAACUUUUCUGCCUUUACUGCAUCAUCCAAUUUGGAAUCCUUACAUGUAUUUCAUUAAAAAUGUCCAUAUUUACCAAAUAUCAAAGCAUGUCAAGAUUAAAACUUUUUCGUUAAGAAUCACAUAUUUCAUUUAAUGUACUUAUUCAGUCACAAAAUAUGCAAUUUAAUGUUUUUAUACAGUCCAAAGCAGACACACAUCUAUACAUUUGAUUACCUAGCUGUGUCAAAUAUUCAACCUGAUCUGACCCAUAAGAAAUGCAAUUAAUUCUUCAUAGCAACAGCCAUGCCAGGGACAACCUGAUCACACAUCUCAGAUUAAUGUUAGGGAAGGAGUCCAGGAAAUUUCACUUUUAUCUUUUGACAGUGUGGCAAAAAUGUUAUUUUUUUGUCUCAGGGCGCUCAUGAAGGUGAAAUAAUGGCUGUCACCACACGUGAAAGACCAUCUCUGAUAAUGAGACGCUGUCCUGCAUGACUGGUGAGU